RNAcentral lists this ribosomal RNA (2841 nucleotides) under Triticum aestivum (bread wheat). RNAcentral describes it as "partial small subunit ribosomal RNA". Lineage: Eukaryota; Viridiplantae; Streptophyta; Magnoliopsida; Poales; Poaceae. The record is from RNAcentral.
AUGGCGACCGGCUCCGGCUCCGGCGCCGGGCGGGCGUCGGUGCGGCCCGUCGACAGGCCCCGGGGCAGCAGCACCGCGCGCUCCAAGUCGGUCGCCCCCCGCCGCCCGCCCUCCCCGGCCCGCGCGCGCCCCGCCGCCGACCACGACGCCACCGCCGACUUGUGCAGAGUAAGAGUUGCGCUAAGGAUCCGGCCGAAGAACGCGGAUGAAUUAGCUCAGGGCGCCGACUUCGAUACUUGUGUUGAGUUGCAGCCCGAGUGUAAGAAGCUGAAACUCAAGAAAAAUAACUGGGCUUCUGAGUCCUACCAGUUUGACGAGAUAUUUGGUGAAAAUUCUUCACAAAAGCGUAUAUACGAGGUCGUUGCAAAGCCUGUAGUCGAGAGUGUAUUAGAAGGAUAUAAUGGGACAGUGAUGGCUUACGGUCAAACAGGUACUGGCAAGACAUACACGGUUGGUCAGCUUGGAAAAGAAGACCCUUCUGAACGUGGUAUAAUGGUCAGAGCGUUGGAGCAUAUCCUUUCUAGCAUGUCUUUGGAGACCGAUAGCGUGGCUGUAUCAUAUCUCCAGCUAUACUUGGAAUCUGUUCAAGAUUUACUGGCCCCAGAGAAGACUAAUAUUCCAAUAGUCGAGGAUCCAAAAACUGGUGAAGUUUCAUUGCCAGGUGCUGCGAUAGUUGAAAUCAAAGAUCUUGAACAUGUUUUUCAACUUCUGCAAAUUGGUGAGACGAAUCGUCAUGCUGCUAAUACGAAGAUGAACACCGAGUCAUCUCGCAGUCACGCUAUUCUAAUUAUUCAUCUACAGAGAAGUUUAAAAAUAAAAGAAGAAACUACCGUCUCUAUCCCUAGUGACACAGAACAUACUCUUCCGGGUGACUUACCACUUGUUCUGAAAAGCAAACUCUUGAUUGUGGAUCUUGCUGGAUCAGAACGAAUUGAUAAGUCUGGAAGUGAAGGGCACAUGAUUGAAGAAGCCAAGUUCAUUAAUCUUUCGUUAUCUUCUCUGGGAAAGUGCAUUAAUGCACUAGCAGAAAAUAGUUCUCAUAUACCAACAAGAGAUUCGAAGCUUACAAGGAUGCUUCGUGAUUCAUUUGGAGGAACUGCUAGGACUUCCCUUGUUGUGACAAUAGGUCCAUCUGCAAGGCAUUACUCAGAAACUUCAAGCACAGUUUUGUUCGGCCAAAGAGCUAUGAAAGUAGUGAACACAAUAAGGUUAAAGGAGGAAGUUGAUUAUGAAACCCUAUAUAAGAACGUUGAAAAUGAGGUUGAUCAUCUCACAUCGGAGAUGGAGAGACAGCAAAAGCUCAGACACAGGGAGAAAAUGCAGUUGGAGAAAAGGUUGAAAGAAUCGGAGACAUUCUUGAAUGACUUAAGAAUGACCUCUAGCAUGCAAAUAGAGAAUCUGGAGAAGGAAAAGCAUCAAUUUGAAUAUGCAGUCAAAAGAUUGAUGCAGGAGCUAGAAGAGAAGGAAGGCCGAAAUAAUGUUUUAUCUGAGAAAAUUGUUCAUUUAGAAACAUCACUAAAUGAAAAGAAGCAACAACAGCUUGAGAGCUUUUCAACCACACAAAUUCUUGCUGAAACAACAAAAACCUAUGAGAAGAAAAUGGGAGAAUUACUGAGGGAGCUUGAGGAAGAAAGAUCUCGUUCUGCUAGUAUGAAGGGCCACUUUAAUGUUCUAGAACAGCAAUUGAGCGAUGCUCGGAGUUCUGCCCAGUUCCAGGAAAAUACGGCCCGUGAGUUGAAAAGAGAGCUAUCCAAAAUCACUCAAACAUUUACCAGUCAAGUACACUCACUAGAAGAAAAAAUCAGUCAACUUGUAUCAGAGAAGGAACUGAUAUAUGAAGAAUUGAAAUCUACACAAGCAAAGGUGCAAGAUGAAGCAAGCCAUAGGCAGAGCCUUGAGGCUGAAGUUCUAAGGUUGAAGCGAUCUAAGACUGAUAAUUGUGCUGAAGAGUCUAAAACAUUAUGUGGUAUGGUUAGAUCAGGAUCUGGAUUAGGUAGUGAGGCAUUUAUGCAUAAAUCAGGAAAUUUGAAAGAGACCCUAGCAAGUCAGAGAGGUACCAUUUCAAAGAUAUUUGAAGAAGUUGGUCUUCCAAAUGUCCUGGCUCUGCUGAAGUCUGAAGAGCUAGAGGUUCAGAUUCAUGCUGUCAAAGUGGUUGCUAAUCUUGCUGCUGAAGAUAUUAACCAGGAAAAAAUCGUCGAGGAAGGAGGGUUGGAUGCACUUCUGUCACUUCUGGAAACAUCAGAAAAUACCACAAUUCAUCGAGCCACUGCUGGUGCCAUUGCUAACUUGGCAAUGAAUGUUUCAAACCAGGCACUUAUAAUGAACAAAGGAGGAGCUCGACUAUUAGCAAAUAUUGCAUCCAAAACUGAUGAUCCUCAAACUAUGCGGAUGGUAGCUGGUGCAAUUGCCAACUUAUGUGGAAAUGAAAAGUGGCAUGCAAUGUUGAAACAAGAUGGUGGAAUAAAAGCGCUCCUGGGAAUGUUUCAAACUGGACAUACUGAUGUCAUAGCUCAGAUAGCACGAGGACUAGCGAACUUUGCAAAAUGUGAAUCCCGAGUAAUAAGCCAAGGUCACAAGAAAGGGAGAUCCCUUCUCAUUGAAGAUGGCGUCCUUAGUUGGAUCAUGGCCAAUUCAACCAUGUUUCCUCCUUCAACGCGAAGACAUAUCGAGCUAGCAUUCUGCCAUCUAGCUCAAAAUGUGGAAAACUCCCGUGAUAUCAUCAUAACUGGAGGGAUUAAGGAGCUCCUUCGCAUAUCAAGAGAGUCUUCAAGAGACGACGCUCGUAACCUGGCGAAAAAGGCACUAAAUUCGAACCCAGCUUUCUUAAAGGAGAUACAAUGA